This 468-nucleotide ribosomal RNA is filed under the name uncultured bacterium. RNAcentral describes it as "partial 16S ribosomal RNA". It matches the Rfam family "Bacterial small subunit ribosomal RNA", at positions 28 to 507 of the family's 1533-position model. The record is from RNAcentral.
GAUGAACGCUGGCGGCGUGCUUAACACAUGCAAGUCGAACGGAAAGGCCAGUGCUUGCACUGGUACUCGAGUGGCGAACGGGUGAGUAACACGUGGGUGAUCUGCCCUGCACUUCGGGAUAAGCCUGGGAAACUGGGUCUAAUACCGGAUAGGACAAUGGUUUGGAUGCCGUUGUGGAAAGUUUUUUCGGUGUGGGAUGAGCUCGCGGCCUAUCAGCUUGUUGGUGGGGUAAUGGCCUACCAAGGCGUCGACGGGUAGCCGGCCUGAGAGGGUGUACGGCCACAUUGGGACUGAGAGACGGCCCAGACUCCUACGGGAGGCAGCAGUGGGGAAUAUUGCACAAUGGGCGCAAGCCUGAGGCAGCGACGCCGCGUGGGGGAUGACGGCCUUCGGGUUGUAAACUCCUUUCGCUAGGGACGAAGCGUAUUUGUGACGGUACCUGGAGAAGAAGCACCGGCUAACUACGUG